UACGGAGGGUGCGAGCGUUGUCCGGAAUCACUGGGCGUAAAGGGCGCGUAGGCGGCCGAGCAAGGUCGCGGUGAAAGCCCGGGGCUCAACCCCGGGUCGGCCGUGGCAACUACUUGGCUAGAGCACUGUAGGGGCGGGUGGAAUUCCGGGUGUAGCGGUGGAAUGCGUAGAGAUCCGGAAGAACACCGGUGGCGAAGGCGGCCCGCUGGGCAGGAAGGUGGCGCAAGUCACCGGCUGACGCUGAUGCGCGACAGCGUGGGGAGCAAACAGG
This 271-nucleotide ribosomal RNA is filed under the name uncultured prokaryote. Its description in RNAcentral is "partial 16S ribosomal RNA". It matches the Rfam family "Bacterial small subunit ribosomal RNA", at positions 524 to 776 of the family's 1533-position model. The record is from RNAcentral.